CGCUACCGACAACCAUUCCAAUUCGUUCUUCCGUACAGUGUACAGAGAAAGAGAAACCAAAACAACAUUCAGCCAAAAUGACUGAGACCGCUACCGACGUUGUUGACGCCGCGCCAGCUGCCGCUGCAUCGCCGGCAAAGGCCACCAAGAAGCCGAAGGCCGCCAAGGGUGACGCCAAGAAGCCGAAGAAGCCAGCUACCCACCCGCCGGUCAACGAGAUGGUCAUUGCGGCUAUCCAGACCCUGAAGGAGCGCAACGGAUCAUCGCUGCAGGCCAUCAAGAAGUACAUCGCUGCCAACUACAAGUGCGACGUGGCCAAGCUGUCCACGUUCAUCAAGAAGGCUCUGAAGACCAACGUCGAGAAGGAAAGCUUGUCCAGACCAAGGGCUCCGGUGCCAGCGGAUCGUUCAAGAUCAAGGCCGAGGCCAAGAAGCCAGCCGGCGAAAAGAAGCCCAAGAAGGCCGCUGGUGAGAAGAAGAAGGUCGCCAAGAAGGCCACCACUGGUGAGAAGAAGAAGGCCGCCGCCAAGAAGCCAGCCGGUGAGAAGAAGGUUGCUGCCAAGAAACCAAAGGCUGCCGCGGCCGCUAAGAAGCCAAAGGCCGCUGCCCCAAAAAGGCCGCCGAGAAGAAAGCCAAGGCUGCCACGGCCAAGACCGCCAAGAAGGCCGGUACGGUGAAGAAGGCCGCUGCCCCGAAGCAGAAGGCCACCAAGCCGUCCAAGACCGCGGCCAAGAAGCCCAAGACCCCGAAACCAAAGAAGGCAGCUGCCCCGAAGAAGGCCGCCGCCAAGAAGUAAAUCUCCAAACACAACCAACUAUUCGUGAAAUUCGUGGUAGUCGAAUAAUCCUACCUACAAAACCACAAUCAGUCCUUUUCAGGA
Culex quinquefasciatus (southern house mosquito) is the source of this 879-nucleotide RNA transcript. It is a transcript of the gene named histone H1-like, with no coding region annotated. NCBI's taxonomy places the organism in Eukaryota, Metazoa, Arthropoda, Insecta, Diptera, Culicidae. The record is from RefSeq and is a predicted model, not a curated record. The transcript has a single exon.